AUAAUGAUAGUAUAAUAAGUACGUUAAUUUUCCAAAUUAAAAGUUUAUGGAUUUAUAAUCAUUAU
Molecule: transfer RNA, 65 nt
Filed under: Lepidotrema longipenis
Lineage: Eukaryota; Metazoa; Platyhelminthes; Monogenea; Dactylogyridea; Diplectanidae
Description: tRNA-Gly
Source: RNAcentral